RNAcentral lists this ribosomal RNA (425 nucleotides) under uncultured delta proteobacterium. Its description in RNAcentral is "bacterial SSU rRNA". It matches the Rfam family "Bacterial small subunit ribosomal RNA", at positions 384 to 806 of the family's 1533-position model. The record is from RNAcentral. Lineage: Bacteria; Deltaproteobacteria.
UGAACCAGCCAUCCCGCGUGCAGGAUGACGGCCCUAUGGGUUGUAAACUGCUUUUGUUUGCCAAGAAUGGUCCCGACGUGUCGGGAUUUGACGGUWGCAAACGAAUAAGGACCGGCUAACUCCGUGCCAGCAGCCGCGGUAAUACGGAGGGUCCAAGCGUUAUCCGGAUUCAUUGGGUUUAAAGGGUGCGCAGGCGGGYUUGUAAGUCAGUGGUGAAAUUUUGCGGCUUAACCGUAAAACUGCYAUUGAUACUGCAAGUCUUGAAUAUGGUUGAGGUAGGCGGAAUGUGUUGUGUAGCGGUGAAAUGCAUAGAUAUGACACAGAACGCCGAUUGCGAAGGCAGCUUACUAAGCCAUGAUUGACGCUGAGGCACGAAAGCGUGGGGAGCGAACAGGAUUAGAUACCCUGGUAGUCCACGCCGUAAA